GAUGAACGCUGGCGGCGUGCCUAAUACAUGCAAGUCGAGCGAACAGACGAGGAGCUUGCUCCUCUGACGUUAGCGGCGGACGGGUGAGUAACACGUGGAUAACCUACCUAUAAGACUGGGAUAACUUCGGGAAACCGGAGCUAAUACCGGAUAAUAUAUUGAACCGCAUGGUUCAAUAGUGAAAGACGGUUUUGCUGUCACUUAUAGAUGGAUCCGCGCCGCAUUAGCUAGUGGGUAAGGUAACGGCUUACCAAGGCAACGAUGCGUAGCCGACCUGAGAGGGUGAUCGGCCACAUGGGAACGGGAACCCGGCCCAGACUCCAACGGGAGGCAGCAGUAGGAAUUUUUCCGCAAUGGGCGAAAGCUGGACGGAGCAACGCCGGGUGAGUGAGGAAGGUCUUCGGAUCGUAAAACUCUGUUAUGAGGGAAAAAAAAAUGUGUAAGUAACUAUGCACGUCUGGACGGUACCUAAGCAGAAAGCCACGGCUAACUACGU
This 496-nucleotide ribosomal RNA is filed under the name uncultured bacterium. RNAcentral describes it as "partial 16S ribosomal RNA". It matches the Rfam family "Bacterial small subunit ribosomal RNA", at positions 28 to 506 of the family's 1533-position model. The record is from RNAcentral.